Molecule: long non-coding RNA, 1816 nt
Organism: Junco hyemalis (dark-eyed junco)
Lineage: Eukaryota; Metazoa; Chordata; Aves; Passeriformes; Passerellidae
Source: Ensembl
AAAUCCGGGAUUUUUCACCCCAAAAUCCCGUCCCUGGGACCGAAUCCCCAAACCUGGCGCUUUUCACUCCACAUUUGGGGUUUUCCACCCCAUUUUGUGAUCCUGUUCCCCUCACGAAUUUCCCACCUUUUCCCUCCCAAUUGUUCACCUAUUCCCUCACAGUUUUCCUUCCUUUUCCUCCAUUUUGUGACCCCGUCCCCUCACGAUUUUCCCUCCGAUUCCCCUCACAAUAUUCCCAUCUUUUCCCUCACAAUUUUUCUGCAUUUUCCCUCAGAAUUUUCCUGCCUUUUCCUCCAUUUUGGGAUCCUGUUCCCCUCACAAUUUUCUCACCUUUUCCCUCACAAUUUUCCUGCCUUUUCCCUACCAAUUUUCUCCACCUUUUCCCUCACAAUUUUCCCGCAUUUCCCCUCAAAAUUUUUCCACCUAUUCCCUCACAAUUUUCCCGCCUUUUUCCCCACAACUUUCCCACUUCUUCCCUACCAAUUUUCUCCACCUUUUCUCCUCACAAUUUUCCCGCAUUUCCCCUCACAAUUUUCCCGCCUUUUCCUCCAUUUUGUGACCCCAUGCCCUCACAGUUUUCCCGCCUUUUUCUCCAUUUUGUGAUCCUGUUCCCCUCACGAUUUUUGCACCUUUUCCCCUCACGAUUUUCCCACAUUUUCCCUCACGAUUUUCCCACAUUUUCCCUCACAAUUUUCCCGCCUUUUCCCUCACGAUUUUCCCACAUUUUCCCUCACAAUUUUCUCACCUUUUCCCUCACAAUUUUCCUGCCUUUUUCCUACCAAUUUUCUCCACCUUUUCUCCUCACAAUUUUCCCACAUUUUGCCUCACAAUUUUCUUACCUUUUCCUCCAUUUUGUGAUCCUGUUCCCCUCACGAUUUUUUCCCCUUUUCCCCUCACGAUUUUCCCACAUUUUUCCUCACAAUUUUCCCACCUUUUCCCUCACAAUUUUCCCACCUUUUCUUCCCACAAUUUUCCCACCUUUUCUUCCCACAAUUUUCCCGCCUUUCCCCUCACAAUUUUCCUGCAUUUUCCCUCAAAAUUUUCCCGCCUUUUCCUUCACAAUUUCCCCGCCUUUUCCCUCACGAUUUUCCCGCCUUUUCCUCCAUUUUGUGACCCUUUCCCCCCACGAUUUCCCCACAGGAGGAAGGGCUCAAAUUGACCUUCCAGAAACAUCGGCUGGGGCCCAACGGGGCCCAACGGGCGCCCAACCCUCCCAAGAAAAACAGCAAGAAACUGGUGGAGCUGGAGCUGCGCUGCCUCGAGGGGCUCCGGGACCCCCCGGGAGACCCCGAGGGCGCCAUGGGGGCCCCUCCCCCCCACCGCGGAGACAACCCCGAGUUCGGGGACCCCCGGCUGCACCCGUUCGUGGAGCAGCGGCGGGAAAAGUGGCACCGGAAAAAGUUCAUCCCCUCCCCCCCCUCAGGUUUGGACCUUUCCAAGAUGGUGGCGUUGAUGGGGGGUGGAGCCAGCGGCACAGGGGGCGUGGCCUCUCCCUCCCUAGCCCCGCCCCCGCGCUUCCGGCCGGAAGCAGAAGAGGAAGCGGAAGCAGGAAGUGGGUGCUGCCCCCUGCUGGCCGACCCCAUGCUGCCGCCCACUUCCGACUCGGAUUAAGCCCCGCCCCUUCUCCUGCCGGGGCCACGCCCCCCUCCCCAUAUUUAUAUAAAUAUGUAAAAUGUCUCUGUGUCAUAGGGGGGCGGGGCGGGGGGCGGGGCUGAGCGGGGCGGGGCCGAGUGGGGCGGGGUCAGUGUGGGCAGGGCUGGCGGGAUGGGAGGGGCCUGGUGGGUUUUUUUUUAAUAAAAGGUUUGGAAAUGGAGCA